GAUGAACGCUGGCGGCGUGCCUAAUACAUGCAAGUCGAGCGAACAGACGAGGAGCUUGCUCCUCUUACGUUAGCGGCGGACGGGUGAGUAACACGUGGAUAACCUACCUAUAAGAGUGGGAUAACUUCGGGAAACCGGUGCUAAUACCGGAUAAUAUAUUGAACCGCAAGGUUCAAUAGUGAAAGACGGUUUUGCUGUCACUUAUAGACGGAUCCGCGCCGCAUUAGCUAGUUUGUAAGGUAACGGCUUACCAAGGCGACGAUGCGUAGCCGCCCUGAGAGGGUGAUCUGCCACACUGGAACUGAGACACGAUCCAGACUCCUACGCGAGGCAGCAGUAGGGAAUCUUCCGCAAUGGGCGAAAGCCUGACGGAGCAACGCCGCGUGAGUGAUGAAGGUCUUCGGAUCGUAAAACUCUGUUAUUAGUGAAGAACAAAUGUGUAAUUAACUAUGCACGUCUUGACGGUACCUAAUCAGAAAGCCACGGCUAACUACGUG
Molecule: ribosomal RNA, 497 nt
Filed under: uncultured bacterium
Lineage: Bacteria
Description: partial 16S ribosomal RNA
Rfam family: Bacterial small subunit ribosomal RNA
Source: RNAcentral